This 253-nucleotide ribosomal RNA is filed under the name uncultured bacterium. RNAcentral's name for it is "partial 16S ribosomal RNA". It matches the Rfam family "Bacterial small subunit ribosomal RNA", at positions 524 to 776 of the family's 1533-position model. The record is from RNAcentral.
UACGAAGGGGGCGAGCGUUGUUCGGAAUUACUGGGCGUAAAGCGCACGUAGGCUGACUCUUAAGUGAGGGGUGAAAUCCCGAGGCUCAACCUCGGAACUGCCUUUCAUACUGGGUGUCUCGAGUCCGGAAGAGGUUAGUGGAAUUCCCAGUGUAGAGGUGAAAUUCGUAGAUAUUGGGAAGAACACCAGUGGCGAAGGCGACUAACUGGUCCGGUACUGACGCUGAGGUGCGAAAGCGUGGGGAGCAAACAGG